AAAAAGAUAAGCUAAAUUAAGCUAAUGGGUUCAUACCCCAUACAUGAAAAAAAAAUUCUCUUUUUA
This 66-nucleotide transfer RNA is filed under the name Cromna sinensis. RNAcentral's name for it is "tRNA-Met". Lineage: Eukaryota; Metazoa; Arthropoda; Insecta; Hemiptera; Flatidae. The record is from RNAcentral.